This 506-nucleotide ribosomal RNA is filed under the name uncultured bacterium. Its description in RNAcentral is "bacterial SSU rRNA". It matches the Rfam family "Bacterial small subunit ribosomal RNA", at positions 16 to 524 of the family's 1533-position model. The record is from RNAcentral.
AUCCUGGCUCAGAUUGAACGCUGGCGGCAUGCCUUACACAUGCAAGUCGAACGGUAACAGGUUAAGCUGACGAGUGGCGAACGGGUGAGUAAUAUAUCGGAACGUGCCCAGUCGUGGGGGAUAACUGCUCGAAAGAGCAGCUAAUACCGCAUACGACCUGAGGGUGAAAGCGGGGGAUCGCAAGACCUCGCGCGAUUGGAGCGGCCGAUAUCAGAUUAGGUAGUUGGUGGGGUAAAGGCCCACCAAGCCAACGAUCUGUAGCUGGUCUGAGAGGACGACCAGCCACACUGGGACUGAGACACGGCCCAGACUCCUACGGGAGGCAGCAGUGGGGAAUUUUGGACAAUGGGCGCAAGCCUGAUCCAGCCAUGCCGCGUGCGGGAAGAAGGCCUUCGGGUUGUAAACCGCUUUUGUCAGGGAAGAAAAGGUUCUGGUUAAUACCUGGGACUCAUGACGGUACCUGAAGAAUAAGCACCGGCUAACUACGUGCCAGCAGCCGCGGUAAU